Molecule: ribosomal RNA, 619 nt
Filed under: uncultured bacterium
Lineage: Bacteria
Description: bacterial SSU rRNA
Rfam family: Bacterial small subunit ribosomal RNA
Source: RNAcentral
AACGGCCCACCAAACCGACGAUGGAUAGGGGUUCUGAGAGGAAGGUCCCCCACAUUGGUACUGAGACACGGACCAAACUCCUACGGGAGGCAGCAGUGAGGAAUAUUGGUCAAUGGCCGAGAGGCUGAACCAGCCAAGUCGCGUGAGGGAUGAAGGUUCUAUGGAUCGUAAACCUCUUUUAUAAGGGAAUAAAGUGCGGGACGUGUCCCGUUUUGUAUGUACCUUAUGAAUAAGGAUCGGCUAACUCCGUGCCAGCAGCCGCGGUAAUACGGAGGAUCCGAGCGUUAUCCGGAUUUAUUGGGUUUAAAGGGUGCGUAGGCGGCCUUUUAAGUCAGCGGUGAAAGUCUGUGGCUCAACCAUAGAAUUGCCGUUGAAACUGGGGGGCUUGAGUAUGUUUGAGGCAGGCGGAAUGCGUGGUGUAGCGGUGAAAUGCAUAGAUAUCACGCGGAACCCCGAUUGCGAAGGCAGCCUGCCAAGCCAUGACUGACGCUGAUGCACGAAAGCGUGGGGAUCAAACAGGAUUAGAUACCCUGGUAGUCCACGCAGUAAACGAUGAUCACUAGCUGUUUGCGAUACACAGUAAGCGGCACAGCGAAAGCGUUAAGUGAUCCACCUGGGG